UCCCUGGUGGCCCAGUGGUUAAGGCUCUGUGCUUCAACACAGAAGGCCUGGGUUUGAUCCCUGGUUGGGGAA
Bos taurus (domestic cattle) is the source of this 72-nucleotide non-coding RNA. NCBI's taxonomy places the organism in Eukaryota, Metazoa, Chordata, Mammalia, Artiodactyla, Bovidae. The record is from Rfam.